CACGUAGGAGGCAAGCGUUAUCCGGAUUUACUGGGCGUAAAGCGCGUGCAGGCGGUUCGAUAAGUUGGAUGUAAAAGCUCCUGGCUUAACUGGGAGAGGUCGUUCAAUACUAUCGGGCUUGAGAGUGGUAGAGGGAGGUGGAAUUCCGAGUGUAGUGGUGAAAUGCGUAGAUAUUCGGAGGAACACCAGUGGCGAAGGCGGCCUCCUGGACCAUUUCUGACGCUCAGACGCGAAAGCUAGGGUAGCAAACGGG
Molecule: ribosomal RNA, 253 nt
Filed under: uncultured bacterium
Lineage: Bacteria
Description: partial 16S ribosomal RNA
Rfam family: Bacterial small subunit ribosomal RNA
Source: RNAcentral